GCCCUCUGGUUGAUCCUGGCGGCAGAGAUCCGGACCAGGACAAAGUUGGCGCAAAUAACCAUUGAAAGCUGAUCCAAGGUCUCUGCCUGGUAAAUUGCCUUAUAGGCAUGGAGUUCGGCCUGGUCAAGUUCACCGCUUUCCAGGCAGUAUUCUGCCCUGAUCAGGCUUUCGAACCCCUUGCCGCAGCCGCCGCGGUAAUACGGGCUAGAGCGGCCGCCACCGCGGUGGAGCUCCAGCUUUUGUUCCCUUUAGUGAGGGUUAAUUGCGCGCUUGGCGUAAUCAUGGUCAUAGCUG
This 294-nucleotide ribosomal RNA is filed under the name uncultured bacterium. RNAcentral's name for it is "partial 16S ribosomal RNA". The record is from RNAcentral.